CCCCCUCAGCGCGGCGGGGUUGCGGCGCCCCAGCCCGGUCUCCUCUGCCCCGGCUGGAAAUAAAGGCCGAUCGCGCCUGCGGGAAGCAGGAUAAAAGCCGUCUGCGGGCUUGUUUUACCUCGCUCUGCAGGCACCUGUGAAGCACAGCACAACCCACACAUAAUGGAGCACAGCGGGGUAAGGGGAGGCCAACAGGAGCAGCAGUCCAAAUCACGGACAGAUAAAAGGGAGGCAGCGCAAGAGGAGGCUCUCUUGGAAUGUGGUCUUUACACAACACGCCAUUUGGUUACCUGAACUGGGUUACCAGCAGAAAGGAGUUGUUCCAGGAUGGGCUGUGAAACCUUUUUUCCUGAUUGUACUAUCUGACUGUUCAAUAAACUCCUCUCACAAAGAAAACUCCCAAAAUUUCAAGUACAUCACUGCAUGUCAUCCUCCAAAUGAAGACACGACAGUGCAUGACUGUAUACUACCAAUUAAAUUUUACAAUCACUAUGCACCUAA
This is a long non-coding RNA of Aptenodytes forsteri (emperor penguin), 501 nucleotides long. RefSeq lists it as uncharacterized. The transcript has 4 exons. Lineage: Eukaryota; Metazoa; Chordata; Aves; Sphenisciformes; Spheniscidae. The record is from RefSeq and is a predicted model, not a curated record.